UUGCACUCCACUGUCUGAGUGAGUGUUAGUGUGAGUGUGUCUGCACAAGUGUGUCAUACACACACACGCGCACAUACAUCUCUCUGUAUCCACUCAAUGCACGUGCACACCUCCACGGUUCGCCACACGCGCCAAGACUUACACAAAAAAAGAGAGCUCACCACUGCCGCGGCGACAGUCUCGCGGCGUUCCCCCCCCCCCACACACACAUACACACGCACACACAUAGCCGCACGUAACCGUACGCGCUUUAUCAUCCCCGUAUCAUGAGCGUUAGCAUGGCAGAUGCUGCGCAGAAACUGAGCGAAAAGCCGGAGAACAUCCGCAACUUCUGCAUGGUCGCCCACGUGGAUCAUGGCAAGACCACCCUCAGCGACUACCUCGUCGCCAGCAACGGCAUCCUUUCCCCGCAGCUGGCGGGUGAGGUGCGGCUGCUCGACUCCCGGCCUGAUGAGCAGGAGCGUUGCAUAACCAUGAAGGCCAGCUCUAUCGCGCUGCACCACGCCUACGCUGGCAAGAGCCACGUGCUGAACCUCGUCGACUCCCCCGGGCACAUCGACUUCUCGUGCGAAGUGUCCACGGCGAUGCGUCUGUGCGACGGCGCCGUCGUCAUCGUCGACGUCGUGGAUGGCGUCACCCAGCAGACGUCGUCCAUCCUGCGCCACACCUACCAGGAGGGGCUGUCGAUGUGCCUCGUGCUGAACAAGAUCGACUUGCUCGUGACAACGCAGCAGUACACUGCGGAGGAGGCAUACCUGCGCCUGCGCAGCAUCAUCGAGAUCUGCAACGCCAUCUUGGCAUCCUAUGCGAACCAGAUGAAGAUACAGGAGAUGGAUCAGGACAUGAAGCGCGAGGACCCCAGCGACGACGUGUGGUUCGACCCAUCCAAGGGCAACGUCCUUUUCUGCAGCUGCUACGACGGCUGGGCCGUUGGCGUGGACUUUUUCGUGAGGCUGUACAAGGACAAGGUGCCGCUGCACAACCUCGCGGAGGCCCUCUGGGGGGAGCACUACUUUGACCCCAAGACCAAGACCGUGAGCCCGAAGCCGAAGAAAGCGGGGCAGCUGCCCUUGGCUGUGCAGCUCAUGCUCGAACCCAUCUGGCAGCUCUACGACGCAUUUCUCGGUGACAACGCGAGUGAGGAGCGGCAGAAGCAGUUGUCCGAGAAGCUGAAGAUUGCCGAGAGCAAGUGGAACAACCCGCGCCACGACCCGCGCCGCAAGCUGAAGGCGCUGCUCUCGAUAUGGAUGCCCCUCGCCCCCUGUGUGCUCGACACGGUUUGCACGAGACUCGACUCCCCGAUCACCUUGCAGCGGCGCCGCCUGCCUUCUCUCGUCCCGGGCUUCGAGGCCGACACCCCCGCGGAGCUGAAGGAGGCGCUCAUGAACUGCGAUCACUCCCCGGAGGCGCCGUGCAUUGUGUACGUCUGCAAGCUAAUCGACACACAAUACCUCGUCGGUCGCGCCGUCGGCUCCGUGGAGAACCACGAUGGCGCCUUCAUUGGGUUCGGGCGCGUCUACAGCGGGCGCCUGCGCGCCGGGCAGCCAGUGUAUGUCCACAGCGAUGGCGUGGUGGUGGAGGCGACGGUAGGCAGCGUCUAUCUCUUCCGCGGCACCGGUCUUGAGGAGACGUCGGAGGUGAGCGCUGGCUUCCUCUGCGGUGUCGGCGGUCUCACCUCGUACAUCACCAAGUACGCCACCAUCAGCAGCGUGCCUAGCAUGCCGCCCUUCAAGCCGCUUGUACUGCAGAGCACCUCGAUAGUGCGGCUCUCCGUCUUCCCGAAGGACCCAAGAAACUUGCAGGAGCUGGAGCGGGGCCUGCGGCUGCUCUACAAAGUCGACCCGCAGGUGGAGGUGAGCAUGCUGCCAACCGGUGAACACGUGAUCGGCACAGCAGGCGAAGUUCACGCAGAGCGCUGCCUCAAGGACCUCAUCGAAACGUUUGCACAGGUGGAGGUGGUCGCCUCGGAGCCGCUCGUAUCCUUUCGCGAAACCAUUGUGAGCAACCUGAGCGCCAAGCCGAAGCCGCACACCGCGUCGCUCAUGGACGGCGCCUUCUACAUCACCCUCCAAGCGCGGCCGCUGCCGACCGAGGUGCUCGAGCUGAUCAAAGAAGACGGGAAGAACAGCGGCAAUAACCCGCAGCUUCUGCGGCAGGCAGUGGCCGCCCUGUCAGGGCACAAGCGCUUUUCUGCGGAUGUCAAGAAUGGCGUCGUCGCCAGCGGCCCGUCUCGGCUCGGCUUCCUUGGAGCAGUGCUGCUCGCCAACUUCGACGGCACUGUGGAUCCAGUGGCAUGCUGGACGACGCUGCAGGACUGGAAAGAGUCCAUCGUGGCAGGCUUCCAGGCCGCCUGCGAGAGCGGGCCGAUGGCACAGGAGCCCUUGUACGGGGUGGCUUUUGUGGUGACGAACAUCUUUGUGGACGCAGACUCGGACAUCUCCGGCGGCAUGGUUCUGCCCAGCGUGCGGGAGGCGUGCCGCGCUGCGAUGAAGCUGCACCCUCGCCGUCUUGUCGAGCCCGUGUACGAGUGCACCGUGUACUCCUCCGGCUUUACCCAGGGCAAGAUCUACGCCUCACUGAACCGCCGCCGCUCUGAGAUCGUCGAGGAGGUGCCGAACGAGGGCAGCGACCUCUUCUACAUCCGCUGCUGGCUACCGGCUGUUGAGGCGUUCGGCUUGCAGGACGAGCUGCGCGUACAGACGCAAGGCGCCUCGACGGCGCAGCUGCAGAUGAGUCACUGGGAGGUCAUCGACGCCGAUCCGUACUUUGUGCCCACAACGAAGGAAGAAUUCGAGGAGCACGGUGCCGAGGUGGCGACCAAAAACAUUGCGGAGCAGCUUUUGGAGCGCAUUAAGCGGCGCAAGGGCCUCUACCGCGAGCGCGUGGUGGAGAGUGCCGAGAAGCAGAAGUUCUCCUUGAAGGGCGCGUGAGAGCGUUGCGGCUCUCUGUUCCUCUUCCGUUCUCCCUUUGUGUGUUUUCUGCCCUCUCCCCACUCCCGCGCGUCCUCUCCGCUCUCUGGCGCGUUUGUUGAGAUACAAAGACACUGGCAGUGAUGGUGGGAGGGGGAGUGACAGAAAGAGGGCGGGGGUGCGUAAUGGCGCCCUUCUGUGCCUGCAUGUGUGUGUGUGGGGGGGGGGGGCGUUUCCGUUUGUGGCGGAGAUUUCGAGUAGUGUGCAGAGCCGCUGCAGUCAUGAGGCAAUGAAGCGACGAUGAGGGAGGAGGAAGGAGAGAGCCGUAGCGCUGCGAGCUGGUCGUUGUGUUUGAGCGGCUGACGGAGGGGGAGGAGGUAGUGGAUGACCCGUCUCCGUGUACGCAUACUCGCCUGCAGGUGAGGCGGACGGCGCAGCCCUUUCCUUCGCGGCGACUGAGCAAGGGAGUGGUCUACAUAUGCACACCCUUACACUGAAGGCGCAUGUGAGGUCGAUGCAGAGCAAGUGAGCGGAAGCAUCGCAAGUCGGCCGAAGCUGCUCGUUGCAAUAGGUGCAGCGGAGCUGUUAGUGAGAGGGAAGGCAACGAGAAGACAGCCUUCACCGCUUCCGCUCUCUCGCACAUCGGCGCGCCCCUCUCCCACCACCGAUGGAAGCGGUGGCACACGCAUCCGUACACGCAGCCCCGCAUAGAGGGAUAAGAAAUGCCUUGCUUGCCGUGUAUAAAAGCAACGACACAGAGGGAGCGACAAGCGACAAGCAGAGAGGGGUAUAGACGCGUGCUGCUCGCAAGUGCACGCACACGAAGAUGGAAGCGAGCUAGCGCUUUUCUUCCUCUGUGAGUCAGUGUUUGAGCGCGCGGCAUCUUUCACAGCAGCUGCCACAGUCCAUCCCCUCCCCCUUCUCCGCAGCGGCAUACCUUGAUAGAGGUAUCAGCGCGGUCGUCGGCUCCCAGGUGAUGACUGCCCUUCCGCCCACCCCCAGCACCCGUCGUGGUCCCAGCGCGGGUGCCUCUUCUCUUUCAAAUUCAUCUCCGUCCUUGCUUCCCCCGCCCUCUCUCCGAGUCGUAG
Molecule: unclassified non-coding RNA, 3997 nt
Filed under: Leishmania donovani
Lineage: Eukaryota; Euglenozoa; Kinetoplastea; Trypanosomatida; Trypanosomatidae
Description: gene:LdHU3.25.2630(CDS-product:elongation_factor_ 2-like_protein)
Source: RNAcentral